RNAcentral lists this long non-coding RNA (938 nucleotides) under Salvia miltiorrhiza (redroot sage). RNAcentral's name for it is "long non-coding RNA (SMIL_LNC004723)". The record is from RNAcentral. Lineage: Eukaryota; Viridiplantae; Streptophyta; Magnoliopsida; Lamiales; Lamiaceae.
AAACGAAUAACUAGUUCUCCAGGUGAGAGGUAUCCAUGAAGGUAAGGGAGUAAGGGACACAGGUUUUUAUAGAUCAAGAAUGAAGAGUUCAAGCCAUAUGUUAUGCUAGUGAGCGAAAGGAAGGUUGGAGGCCAUCUAGCCGGUCUGAACCCAUUGGCAAUCCUAAGAGGUUAAAAACUUCAAGGAAAAUGAUAUGCUACAUAUGAGCACAGCUCAAUAUAAACGGGCAUAUGAUGUUCUACUGUGUUACCAUAUAAUAUACUAUUUUACUGAAUAUUUUUACUUAUCUAAUAUUCAAGGCAUCCGAUGUAACUAAGUGAAAUAUUAUAUGCAAUUCAGCAUAGGUCAAAUUCUAAAUGCAUGCUCUUUCAUGGACGCAGCUGAGAAUUUCCAAGAAUCAGAUGCACUCAAACUUGCUUAACGAUUUUUAUCGAUGUGAUGACAUGACAGUUGAGCAUUCUACAGGAAUAAAUGUUCCAACUUAGAAUUACCCUAUAGAUCAGUACCCUGGAAAAUUCCAGCAUUCUUAGAGCACGAGAAGCACCUUCCACCCAUGGGAAAAUAAAGAAAAUUGCUAAUAAAUAGACAAGAAAUCCUCCAUAACACUGAAAAUUUAUUUCUUGUUACAUUGGACAAAGCAAAAGUGCAACCAAAACUUAGAGCACAAAUAUUAGCUCAGAGAAUGGCAUAGAAUCAGUCAGUCNCUCCGAAUAAUCAAACGAAUAACUAGUUCUCCAGGUGAGAGGUAGUCCAUGAAGGUAAGGGAGUAAGGGACACAGGUUUUAUAGAUCAAGAAUGAAGAGUUCAAGCCAUAUGUUAUGCUAGUGAGCGAAAGGAAGGUUGGAGGCCAUCUAGCCGGUCUCCCAUUGGCAAUCCUAAGAGGUUAAAAACUUCAAGGAAAAUGAUAUGCUACAUAUGAGCACAGCUCAAUAUAAACG